This 253-nucleotide ribosomal RNA is filed under the name uncultured bacterium. RNAcentral describes it as "partial 16S ribosomal RNA". It matches the Rfam family "Bacterial small subunit ribosomal RNA", at positions 524 to 776 of the family's 1533-position model. The record is from RNAcentral.
GACGGAGGAUGCAAGUGUUAUCCGGAAUCACUGGGCGUAAAGCGUCUGUAGGUGGUUCGAAAAGUCCACUGUUAACAAUUGAGGCUUACCCUCAAAGAUGCCGUGGAAACUUUCAAACUAGAGUAUGGUAGGGGUAGAGGGAAUUUCCAGUGGAGCGGUGAAAUGCGUAGAUAUUGGAAAGACCACCGAGGGCGAAGGCACUCUACUGGGCCAUUACUGACACUGAGAGACGAAAGCGUGGGGAGCAAACAGG